AUGUAUAUCCGUUUCGUCGAAACGAAUCGAUCGGAGGAUAAAUAUUAUUUUGGAGGUCCGUCCAAUUUUUGGCGAAGGAAAAAUUAUUGAUUAUCGCAAUUUAUUUGCAAAAUAUUUUUGCGAAUCGACAGUUAUUCGCUUUUUGAACAAUAUUUAAAAAUUUUUUUUUUCUUUAUUUUAAAAAGCUGGUAUCUUUCGAAGCUAGUUCCGUUCAUUAUAUAUUUGAUAAUAACCGCAAAGAUAAAGUUAUCUUUGCAUUUAUUUUCUAAGUAAACAUAUUAAAAAUAUUAAAAAUAUGAGAACAGAAAAGUUGAAAAUAUCGAUAAAAAUUAAUAUAUGCACUUAAAAACGAAGUGGGUGCUAUUUGUAUCGCCUGCAAACUACGAUUUUAAAAUGUUUACACGGUCAACUAGUUCUUCUUAGUACGUACAAUUUGGACUAAUAUUAUCGGCAAAAUUUACAAGUCAUAAACGCUGGUAAGCACUUAUGACUAAUGUAAAUACAGCUCGACUCUUCCACCCGUGGCAGUGCAUAUUUAAAAAAGAAAAAAAAAAAAAUAUUCCAUCCUUUCGUAUAUUCGUGCCCGAUAAAUAUACACCGAAUAAAACCGAACAAAUUCCUCGAAUCACGAAAGUGAAUCUAUCGAAAUAAUAAUUGAAUUCGUAACGAUUCGUCAACGUUUCAAAUCCAAUCUCUUUUCGAUAAGUAAUCGCUGCUCCUCUCCUCCCCUCUCCCCAUAAAGUUUCGUCUUUAUUACCAGGUGAUGUUGAGGGCGGAUGAUGCGGGAGUGGGGAUGAUUGAUGCGGCUCGGUUAUCGGGGACACGGACCAGAGAAGAUAGUCGAUCCACGGGUCUCAUUACCGCGACACGGGAUGCUCAUAUUAUCGUCAUUUUUAUUAAACACCGCUCGUACAUUUUCGCCGGGCCCGGGCCGAUAAUGGCGGGGAAAACGUUCGAUGAAAUAUUACCCGUGUUCGACGACGACGACCAUUCGCAUCCUCUCGUGCAGGAGGACAGGGGAGGGGCGAUGAUCGUUUCGUCGCGAGAUCCUUCCAUCGACGCCGGCCUUUAAAUCGAGAUCCGAGGUUUUACGAUUUUUCUUGGAAGCAUGGAAGGAGGAAUUUGGGAACGACAUCUGGGUAAAUAAGAUACGAGAUGCAGAAAACCGAUCUCAAUGGAUCAGAAAUACGAAGAAGAGUGUGAAGAAUAUUAUUUUUCAAAUAUUACUUGGAAGGAAAUAUUCAUCCACUUGCGUCCAAUUACGUACUCCCUCCUCCCCCCCCUGUCUAAUCACGUCCGAUCAAAUUACGAGGUUAAUGAACCCGAUCGAAAUUUAACGAGGGUCAUUUUCGUCACGCUCCCCUUUCGAUCGCAACCUCGGAUCGUGGAAGACGAGAGAGGAACAGUUUAAAGCUGCCGAAUCGAAGAGCUGCGCGCUCGCCACGCUCGCUUGCCCCGUAAUAAUUGACCCGGCAACGCGUACAAACCGCACCAUGGCGGACGAAUGGAUAAUUAACCAACAAUCAGGCUUCAGGUGUGCGUGUAUAUAUAUAUAUAUAUUGGAGCGCGGUUAGGGGGGAAAGAAGGAAGGAAUAGAGAAUACGAAAGGGCGACAUAUGGCAACUUUGCCAUUAUUACGAAAUUGACGAUUCAUUCGGGGGUGCCGUGCUCGACUUAUGCCACUUACGCCCUCCUCCUCCUCUUUCUUUUUCAAUUUUUCAUACACUCUCGUCUCGCUUCCCCUCUGGCUGUCACCCGCUGUCAUCAGUCUUCCCCUCUCCCCUCCCCAUACUUUUUUCCAUUAUUCGUUGAUCGUUCGGCCGCGAAAACACGGCACCACAACCCGUAACCGCAACUUCCUCCAUUCCUGCCUUUCCAUCGGUCUAAUGCCUCUCUCAUCGCUGUUCCAACGAUCCGUGAUCGUUGCUUAGUCGCGACUAACGAUCGAGUUAAAAAAGGUUGAAAAAAAAGGAGAAGAAGAAAGGGAUUCGCGGACGACUCUUGGAAACUCGUGGGUUAACGAUCGUGGACGAAACAUUGUUGCGUAAUCGAUCUCGUGGCGGAGAGGGUGGUGGUGGUGGAGGGAUAGUUUUGCGAAUAUUCCUGCUUUAUAUCGGUAUGUGGAGUAAUACGAGCGGAUGAAACAGAGUGGAAGCGAGGUACAUGACGAUCCUAUUUGCAAAUCGAAAUAUCGAUUACAACGAGGGACACACGUUUGGCAAAAUGGCCCUUUUUAUCGAUGAUAUUUGUUCGGUUAGAGAUAUUUGUACGCGGUAUUAUUACGUAUUAAAUUCGCGGAUAAAGUUUGAAAAUUAUCCUCUCUUCCGAAUCCAUUUAGCUAUCGCGAAACGCACAAUUAUAUCUCACGGCCACGUAUUAUUAUAAUUGUCUUUCAACGUCGUCAGUGGUAGACGAUCCUUCGUGUCCUUAAAAACAAAUAAUUGCAAGAAGCUAUUCGUUCUUGCCUUUUGAAAUAACAACGUGUAUACAUUGCGACGUCAAAAGUUACCUUUUACAAAAGGGCCGACCGUUUACCCACAACGAGCGUGAAAAUUCAAAUUCGGAAUCGCGUUACUCGCCGGUUGAUUGGCCACGCUCGAUUCGAGGGCAACGCGAUGAAAAUUCGGCAGAUUCACUUUCCAAGCGAAUUUUCCAAUAAUUCAAUAUAAUAGCCGGCCGGGGGGGAGGAGGGGGCGGGUGCAUGGUAAUUGGUGUUAACGAACACGCUCUGUCAUUCACGACAUCGAGAAUGACUGCGGCCGAGUGGAGCGUUUCCGGCUCACCGGCCAACUUCCGCGGCAGAACAAUGGGAGCGCUUAACGCACCGGCGAAAGUCGUUAGUCAGUGUUAUAUUCCGCAUAGGUAUGCGCGACGUGGCUGCCAAAUGCGUUAAUCUAAUUUUCUGGGCAUCGAUUAACGCCACACGGCCAACAUGGCCGACACCGCUGGCCGCAGCGGCGGAUAAACGAUCACGCUGAAUGGUUGGAGGGAGGGAGGAGAGGGGAAAAAAAAAAAAGAAAAAAUGGAAAUACGCGGCACGAAGAUCGUUUUUCCGCCAGAAUAUCCCGCGCGUUGCGUUGAACAGAGGAAACUGGCUCGAAAUUGUGCUCGUGCAUGCCCUCCCCCUUUUGCAGUCGGUCUGGAAAAAAUUCAAAUAAAUAAAUAAAUAAAGGUAUUUAUUUACGAUGGCUAUUUUUUUUUCCAUCUUCUUUUUUGCAAUGAAUUGUUUACGAAAGGUAAAGGUAUUUCGUCUUUAUCGAAAUUUAAUUUUGGAAAAGCGAAGAGACAUAUCUUAUUUCUUUCUUACAUAACGAUGUAAUCUCUGUAUAAAAAUUGAAAGAAAUAACUAAAACAUUUUUUUCCCCUGUUUUGAUCAUGAUUAAACGAAAUUAGUUCCCGUUAUCCGUCGAAAAAUGACUCUCUCACACCCGCGUCGUUAUUCAUCCAAUAUUAUUAUCGAUAAAUACCGGUAAAUAUUUCGAAAUAAUUUUUCUCAAAGUAUUUUCCUUAUCCGAACAAAUGAACAGAACGAAUACGAACAAAUCGUCCAAUUCUGCUCCACAAAUUUUCCUGAAACAUUCUCGAAAUUCCUCCUCCAGAAAUCAACCUGAACUCAAGAUCUAAACUUCUCGACACGGAAUCAUUAAAACGCACCAUCUGUCUCCAACAUUGCUACCAUUCACGCCGAUUUCGUUUAUUCCUCGCGCCACGGGGAGCGCUGCUGCCUUUUUAUUCCCCGACAAAUUAUCGUCCACUUUCUUCACCUCCUCCCCUCAACUUUUGAAAAUUCGAAAUGAGUUCGCGCGUGGGUGAUCGAUUUCUCGAGGAGAACGCCGCGGGCGGUCGAUCGAGGAGGAAGGGAAAAAGACAAGAUGCCCCGAAAUUAGUCGAAAUUAGCGAAUUCAAUCCGUACAGUUGCGUGGAAGCUGGAUCCAAUUAGAGGCGUGUUUCAUUCACCGUUCGACUGGCCCUCUGGCGAUCUCUCGAAAUUUCUUUUUAAUGGCUCGCUUUUCUUCCAGAUAGACUCUCUGUUACGUCACAUCCGGCACGAUUUACGAGGGAAUUAAAAGAUCGACGUGUACCCUACAGUCGUUAACGGAGUUGACGAGCUUGUUUCGAGCAUUGUCAAGACGUCUUCUUCUUGCUUCGUGUUCUCCUCCUCCUCGAAAAUGUUACGUUUAUCGUUGAAGAAUUUAAAGUUGACCGAAAUUUUAUUUAUUCAAUUGCUAGAAAUGCCAUUUUUCUUAGAUACGUAUCAGUUGUUUUGUAAACAGUUACGCGCAAUCACGUACAAUUAAAAUAUUCCUUCAGCAAAUUUCACUGUCUUGCCAACAUUUAUAUAUACGACAUAUAUUUAGAAUUGAUCGUGCAUCGAUUCCAAUCCGAUUCGAAGGAGACGAAAUUUUUACAGCUCGUGAUUUUAAUGGCGGAGAACGGAGAUAGGCAACAGAUAAUUCAUUCGUUUAAUUUUUCAUUUCUCUAUCGCCACGCGAAAUAAAUAAUAACACGGGAAAUUGAUCUCUUAUAAUAAUUCCCUCUUCUUCGUAGAUAUUAAAAACCAACUUUUCGAUCCUCCGAAAACUUUCCAUCCAAUUAUCAUUUCCCCUUGUUCUCGCUCUUCUCCAGUUGACCUGUCGAGAGAGCUGCACCUGUUAGAAUCCGUCGAAACCUGGGUCGAAGGUGGUGGUUAGCGGUGUUUCGUCGCCGAAAUUACGGGCAUUUCCGAGACAUCUCGAGGCGAGGAAAAUGGAGGCCGACGGAUAACUCGACAGGGGAAGGGAGACCUUCCGGUUAAUCUAAUGGCCGUCCACUUAAGAGAGCUUUUCGUGCCGGUAAUCGAGAAAAUUGGUAAAGUGGAGAUGCGUACGUUGGAAUCAAGGCAAAGCGCGGUUGACAGGGGAUCGUUAAUUUAUCGAUCGAAAUAACAGGCUUGUGCGCAGGCAAAUCGUUUUCCCUUAAACGCAUUCUUAUCUUGGACCGCCACCACCGAAACUUUUCCAUUUCCAAAUUUCAUUUCAGAAUUGAUCUCUUAUCAAAAGAAAAAUAAAAAAAUCAUCUCUCGUUCCACCUCACCUCCCCCAACUUCCCCCGAUCGAGUUUACUCUACACAAUCUACGCCUCUCGACGCUUAGUCAUCGCCUCGAACAAAAGCUUACCCUCCCCCCGACAAUGGAGGCCGUCGAAAGGCAGAGAGAGAGAGAGAAAGAAUCCGUGAAAAUCGAAUUAACCGCGCACGAUUACGAAUAACAAAUCCAGCGCGUUAAUGAGCGUCGCCGGAAGCGUACGAGUGCACGCCAAGAGGGGGAAUUCCGGGUAAGAGAGAGAACGACACCUGCGGCCGGUUCGCAGCUUCCGGUUCGCCUGUGGGGGCACACACGGGCGGCAAAGGGGACAGAAUGCACCGGUGGCGCGAUAAAAUCGUCUAAUUGUUUCGCUAAGCGUAUGCGAAUGUCCAACGCUCACGCGCGCCGUCGUCGCUUUCGUGCCCGAACGUAUUUUUCCCGCUCUUUUUUUCCUUCCUCCUUUUCCCUCGUUUUAUUUAUUUAUUUAUUCUUCUUCCUCCUCGCAAAGGAUCCGUAAUCGUAUCAUCACUGCGGGGGAAACGAGAAUGACGCCGAUCAAACGAAAUCGUUCCUUUCUUCUCCUUCCAGAUUAAUUCGCUCCGCAGACCGUAAUGCGUGUUGCAAUUAACGUAACUAACGUAACCGAGAGUUAACCUCUCUUCCUCCUACUUUUCUUUGUAACGCGCCAGGAGACUCGCAGAAAACAACAAUGCGCCUCUUAAUGAUGGUUAUAUAUGUAUAUAUAUAUAUUUAUUUCGUAGGAUAUAGGAGAUUGGAAUAAUAUAAUUCAAAGAGGGUACGUUUCGUAAAUAAGUUCGUAAGCGGAUGAUACAUCUUUCUGAACUGAAAACAAGGAAUCCCCCGAUUUUUACCGAUUUCAAAUUAUGCAAUACGCGAUAAUGCAAAAAGAUUAUUGCUAUAUGCAGAUACGCGAGAGUUGUUUUUCAAGACGUCUAAAUAUGUAUGUAUAUUUCUAUUUCGCACACGAUAUUUUCUUUAUUACUUCAACGUGUAUCUCGUGUAUCUCUUUUAACCAUUUAUUUAUGAAUCAUUCUGUACAUAUUUAUUGCAUAUCCCGUAUCAAGAUCCUUGCUUCCCCUUCCACGCCGAGAUGGAAAUUGAGGAACGUAUGCGAAUUCAGAAGUAUAAAUGUUUCCCGAGGCGGUUCGAUGCCGAUUCAACAGCGAUAAAAGCGCAACAUGUUUCAAUCGCGGAACGUAGUGUGUGUGCGUAUAUGGAAGAAACGUCGGUUUAAUUACGUUAAAUCUGAUGUUAUUAAUCCAAACGUGUUGCGCUAGCAGCCGCGCCUCUUCGAGGAAAUAGCAAUAAUAAUAAUAAUAAUAAUAAUAAUAUUGUAAUAUUUUCUUGACCGGUAAAAAGAGUGGUUUCAGGCGUUGGUAAAGGUGGAAUAUCGUGGAGUCGAAUAAUGGUAGGAAAUUGCUGCGGCGUUCUUCUGAACCGGACGUGGAGAGCGAAUCGACGUGUUAAGCUUAGCAAUAGAACGAAGCAGAUAAUCCGGUUUGGAUGGACUUUCUCCCAUCAUGGGAUCAGCGCCCUCGUACGGCCAACAACCCGACCACGUGGAUUUAAAUGGCGUCUUUAAGAAUCGUCUCUUAAACAGCAAUUUAGUGGACAAAUCAUGGGGAAACAUCGGAGAGAUACCGAUAGAUCAACCGUUCCUUCACGAUAGGAAGCGCGAUACAAAUUGGCUUGACAACCAACUUUAUUAUUCUAGCCUCACAAGAUUUAUAAUUAUCUUCGCUUCACGAUCUUCGAACACGUCUCACAACAAACGAAAUAUAAAAGAGUUGAAGAGAAACUUGAUGUAUAAAAACCUUUGUAUAAAUGAUAAAUACAAAAAUACAAAAAAUUGCAAGAUUUCUCGUAUCGAACGGGUUCUCUAAAAGCAGCAGCAGCGUUUCAUCGUUGUUCCCAUGCGAGAUAUAUAUAUAUAUAUAUAUAUAAAAGCGCGUUGUAUCGUAAAAAUUAAACGACGUUCAUG
Molecule: long non-coding RNA, 7065 nt
Organism: Apis cerana (Asiatic honeybee)
Lineage: Eukaryota; Metazoa; Arthropoda; Insecta; Hymenoptera; Apidae
Source: RefSeq, a predicted model, not a curated record